CCUCAACAAUGAUCAAAUAAUAUGGAAGUCUUUUAGCCUUGAUAUAAGAUAUUAUUGAUGGCUGAAAAGAUAUAUCAACCAACUUUAAAGAAAACAAAGAUUAGAAUAUAUGGCAGACAUAAUUUUUUCCAUCUUAAAUUUUUUUAACAUAUGAUGACUACUAUCAUAUUACGUGAAGACUUAUUUAAGAAUGCACCAGAGACCUUGCUAUGGAAGGUUAAAUAAAAAUUAUAAUAAUAAAAUCCUAAUCUUAAUAAAAUACUAAAUAAAUUAUAAUUAAACUUUAAUAAUAUUAAAUAAGCUUUAAUCAAAUUCAAAAGAAAUCUUAAAAAAAUUACAAAAGAAAUAAUAAAAAAUCUUAAAGAAAUUAAAAAAAAAUCUGCAAUAAACCUUAAAAAAAUAUCUAAGAAAUCCUAAAAAAAAUUAGAAUAAUCACAAAUAUAUCUUAAAUAAAUCUCAACCAAAUCUUAAUUUAAUUCUAGUUGAAAUCCUAAUAGAAUUCAAUCAAAUCUUAAAUCCUAAGCAAAUCUUAAAUCUUAAAUCCUAAGAAAAUCCUAAACCGAAUUCUAAACAAAUCCUAAAUCCUAAAUCCUAAGAAAAUCCUUAUCUAAAUCCUAAAUCCUAAUCCAAUCUUAAAUUUUAACCAAACCUUAAUCAAAUCAUAUUUUCUAAUCCAAUCCUAAUCU
This 686-nucleotide long non-coding RNA is filed under the name Physcomitrium patens. Its description in RNAcentral is "long non-coding RNA (PPAT_LNC009190)". Lineage: Eukaryota; Viridiplantae; Streptophyta; Bryopsida; Funariales; Funariaceae. The record is from RNAcentral.